ACCUGGCUGGCUCAGUCAGUAGAGCAUGAGACUCUUGAACUCAGGGUUGUGAGUUCAAGACCCACGGUGGGCA
Molecule: transfer RNA, 73 nt
Filed under: Ailuropoda melanoleuca (giant panda)
Lineage: Eukaryota; Metazoa; Chordata; Mammalia; Carnivora; Ursidae
Rfam family: tRNA
About the family: Transfer RNA (tRNA) molecules are approximately 80 nucleotides in length. Their secondary structure includes four short double-helical elements and three loops (D, anti-codon, and T loops). Further hydrogen bonds mediate the characteristic L-shaped molecular structure. tRNAs have two regions of fundamental functional importance: the anti-codon, which is responsible for specific mRNA codon recognition, and the 3' end, to which the tRNAs corresponding amino acid is attached (by aminoacyl-tRNA synthetases). tRNAs cope with the degeneracy of the genetic code in two manners: having more than one tRNA (with a specific anti-codon) for a particular amino acid; and 'wobble' base-pairing, i.e. permitting non-standard base-pairing at the 3rd anti-codon position.
Source: Rfam by way of RNAcentral